Molecule: ribosomal RNA, 285 nt
Filed under: uncultured bacterium
Lineage: Bacteria
Description: partial 16S ribosomal RNA
Rfam family: Bacterial small subunit ribosomal RNA
Source: RNAcentral
AACGAACGCUGGCGGCGUGGAUUAGGCAUGCAAGUCGUGCGCGAAAGUGGUAGCAAUACUGCGAGUAGAGCGGCGAACUGGUGAGUACAAGGUGAAUAACGUGCCCUCGAGUUGGGGAUAACCCCGGGAACGGAGCUAAUACCGGAUAGUCUCACUGACCGCAAGGAAUGUGAGUAAAGCAGUAAUGCGCUUGAGGAUCGGUUCACCUCCCAUUAGCUAGUUGGUGGGGUAANGGCCCACCAAGGCUACGAUGGGUAGCUGGACUGAGAGGUUGACCAGCCACAC